Molecule: ribosomal RNA, 253 nt
Filed under: uncultured bacterium
Lineage: Bacteria
Description: partial 16S ribosomal RNA
Rfam family: Bacterial small subunit ribosomal RNA
Source: RNAcentral
UACGUAGGGCGCAAGCGUUAUCCGGAAUUAUUGGGCGUAAAGAGCUCGUAGGCGGUUUGUCGCGUCUGCUGUGAAAGACCGGGGCUCAACUCCGGUUCUGCAGUGGGUACGGGCAGACUAGAGUGCAGUAGGGGAGACUGGAAUUCCUGGUGUAGCGGUGGAAUGCGCAGAUAUCAGGAGGAACACCGAUGGCGAAGGCAGUUCUCUGGGCCGUAACUGACGCUGAGGAGCGAAAGCGUGGGGAGCGAACAGG